ACUACGGGUGGCUGCAGUGAGGAAUAUUGGUCAAUGGGCGGAAGCCUGAACCAGCCAAGUAGCGUGCAGGAUGACGGCCCUACGGGUUGUAAACUGCUUUUAUACGGGAAUAACGCGCCUUACGUGUAGGGCUUUGCAUGUACCGGAUGAAUAAGGACCGGCUAAUUCCGUGCCAGCAGCCGCGGUAAUACGGAAGGUCCGGGCGUUAUCCGGAUUUAUUGGGUUUAAGGGGAGCGUAGGCCGCAUGUCAAGCGUGCUGUGAAAUGUCCGGGCUCAACCCGGGCCUUGCAGCGCGAACUGGCGUGCUUGAGUCCGCGGAAAGCAGGCGGAAUUCGUCGUGUAGCGGUGAAAUGCUUAGAUAUGACGAAGAACCCCGAUUGCGAAGGCAGCUUGCUGCAGCGGAACUGACGCUGAUGCUCGAAAGCGCGGGUAUCGAACAGGAUUAGAUACCCGGGUAGUC
Molecule: ribosomal RNA, 460 nt
Filed under: uncultured bacterium
Lineage: Bacteria
Description: partial 16S ribosomal RNA
Rfam family: Bacterial small subunit ribosomal RNA
Source: RNAcentral